CGGGAGGCAGCAGUGGGGAAUAUUGCACAAUGGGCGCAAGCCUGAUGCAGCCAUGCCGCGUGUGUGAAGAAGGCCUUCGGGUUGUAAAGCACUUUUGUCAGGGAAGAAAUCGUUCGGGCUAAUACCUCGGGCAGUUGACGGUACCUGAAGAAUAAGCACCGGCUAACUACGUGCCAGCAGCCGCGGUAAUACGUAGGGUGCAAGCGUUAAUCGGAAUUACUGGGCGUAAAGCGUGCGCAGGCGGUUUUGUAAGUCAGAUGUGAAAUCCCCGAGCUUAACUUGGGAACUGCGUUUGAAACUACAAGACUAGAGUGUGUCAGAGGGGGGUAGAAUUCCACGUGUAGCAGUGAAAUGCGUAGAGAUGUGGAGGAAUAUCAAUGGCGAAGGCAGCCUCCUGGGAUAACACUGACGCUCAUGCACGAAAGCGUGGGGAGCAAACAGGAUUAGAUACCCUGGUAGUCCACACCGUAAACGAUGAAUGCCAGUCGUCGGAUAGUAUACUAUUCGGUGACACACCUAACGGAUUAAGCAUUCCGCCUGGGGAGUACGGUCGCAAGAUUAAAACUCAAAUAAAUUGACGGGGACCCGCACAAGCAGUGGAGCAUGUGGUUUAA
RNAcentral lists this ribosomal RNA (614 nucleotides) under Alexandrium tamarense. RNAcentral's name for it is "partial Bacterial small subunit ribosomal RNA". It matches the Rfam family "Bacterial small subunit ribosomal RNA", at positions 342 to 949 of the family's 1533-position model. The record is from RNAcentral. Lineage: Eukaryota; Dinophyceae; Gonyaulacales; Pyrocystaceae.